Molecule: ribosomal RNA, 449 nt
Filed under: uncultured bacterium
Lineage: Bacteria
Description: partial 16S ribosomal RNA
Rfam family: Bacterial small subunit ribosomal RNA
Source: RNAcentral
AGCGAACGCUGGCGGCAGGCCUAACACAUGCAAGUCGAACGAACUCUUCGGAGUUAGUGGCGGACGGGUGAGUAACACGUGGGAACGUGCCUUUAGGUUCGGAAUAACUCAGGGAAACUUGUGCUAAUACCGAAUGUGCCCUUCGGGGGAAAGAUUUAUCGCCUUUAGAGCGGCCCGCGUCUGAUUAGCUAGUUGGUGAGGUAAAGGCUCACCAAGGCGACGAUCAGUAGCUGGUCUGAGAGGAUGAUCAGCCACAUUGGGACUGAGACACGGCCCAAACUCCGACGGGAGGCAGCAGUGGGGAAUCUUGCGCAAUGGGCGAAAGCCUGACGCAGCCAUGCCGCGUGAAUGAUGAAGGUCUUAGGAUUGUAAAAUUCUUUCACCGGGGACGAUAAUGACGGUACCCGGAGAAGAAGCCCCGGCUAACUUCGUUCCAGCAGCCGCAGUAA